AUCCAACUGACAAGUCCCAAAUAGGAGGAAACGUGCGUUCUGGAU
Molecule: non-coding RNA, 45 nt
Organism: Schistosoma curassoni
Lineage: Eukaryota; Metazoa; Platyhelminthes; Trematoda; Strigeidida; Schistosomatidae
Source: Rfam